AAAAUGCAUUUCAUUCUAUAUAUUCUGUUUGUAGCUUCUGAAUCGCAAGGCCGAUGUUGUUCUUAAGAGGUUUGAAAUUGAAGAUACCAAGGUUGUCUUGUACUUUGAUGAGAUAAAAGAUGUUUGUGUGACAUUUGGAAUCGACCAAACUUCAGUUGUGACGAGCAUGARGCCUGCAACUGUGACUGUAUACGACUAUUACGACCCAGAUAAGUCAGCUUCUUCACAGUACACCAUAACAAGCGAUCUUUGUACAACACAGCCAGACGCUUAGCCUCAUUGGCCCCAAGCCCUCGGCAGAUAUAGAUGGCCAUUAUAUUAGAGUUAGAUCUAUCGCUACUUACUCUGAUUGAAUCAGAGGCUUAUUUUAUCAGACCCAAAUAGACGGAACAACUUUUGCUUACAACC
Exaiptasia diaphana is the source of this 408-nucleotide RNA transcript. RefSeq lists it as uncharacterized. The record is from RefSeq and is a predicted model, not a curated record. Lineage: Eukaryota; Metazoa; Cnidaria; Anthozoa; Actiniaria; Aiptasiidae. The transcript has 3 exons.